Molecule: long non-coding RNA, 333 nt
Filed under: Trifolium pratense (red clover)
Lineage: Eukaryota; Viridiplantae; Streptophyta; Magnoliopsida; Fabales; Fabaceae
Description: long non-coding RNA (TPRA_LNC011392)
Source: RNAcentral
AAAUAUGCUAUUUAUUUAGUUAAUUUACUAUUAUAUUUUAAUUAUUUUUAUUUCGAUUUCGAAGUUUUAUAUUAUGAAUCGUUACUUAUUUCUCGUAUUUUAAAUAAACAGAUAAAAAGUGUACGAGUUGAAGAAAGGAGCGAAAACUGACAGAAAAGGAGCAAAAGUGGACAAAAAGACCACACAUGUGCAGCCCACACAAAAGCAAAGAAGUGGCGCCUGCCACCAAGGAAAAAUGGCAACUGCCAGCUCCUCCAAAGUGGCGCCCACCAGCCAACCAAAAGUGGCAACCGCCACAUGCACACAAAGUGGCACCCGCCACAUUCCUUUUUC